This 510-nucleotide ribosomal RNA is filed under the name uncultured bacterium. RNAcentral's name for it is "partial 16S ribosomal RNA". It matches the Rfam family "Bacterial small subunit ribosomal RNA", at positions 28 to 507 of the family's 1533-position model. The record is from RNAcentral.
GACGAACGCUGGCGGCGUGCUUAACACAUGCAAGUCGAACGAAGAGCGAUGGAAGCUUGCUUCUCUCAAUCUUAGUGGCGAACGGGUGAGUAACGCGUAAUCAACCUGCCCUUCAGAGGGGGACAACAGUUGGAAACGACUGCUAAUACCGCAUACGAUCUGACCUCGGCAUCGAGGAUAGAUGAAAGGUGGCCUCUAUUUAUAAGCUAUCACUGAAGGAGGGGAUUGCGUCUGAUUAGCUAGUUGGAGGGGUAACGGCCCACCAAGGCGAUGAUCAGUAGCCGGUCUGAGAGGAUGAACGGCCACAUUGGGACUGAGACACGGCCCAGACUCCUACGGGAGGCAGCAGUGGGGAAUCUUCCGCAAUGGACGAAAGUCUGACGGAGCAACGCCGCGUGAGUGAUGACGGCCUUCGGGUUGUAAAGCUCUGUUAAUCGGGACGAAAGGCCUUCUUGCGAAUAGUUAGAAGGAUUGACGGUACCGGAAUAGAAAGCCACGGCUAACUACGUG